This 300-nucleotide ribosomal RNA is filed under the name uncultured bacterium. Its description in RNAcentral is "bacterial SSU rRNA". It matches the Rfam family "Bacterial small subunit ribosomal RNA", at positions 334 to 651 of the family's 1533-position model. The record is from RNAcentral.
GUCACCUACGGGAGGCAGCAGUGGGGAAUAUUGCACAAUGGGGGGAACCCUGAUGCAGCGACGCCGCGUGAGUGAGGAAGUAUUUCGGUAUGUAAAGCUCUAUCAGCAGGGAAGAAAAUGAUGGUACCUGACUAAGAAGCCCCGGCUAACUACGUGCCAGCAGACGCGGUAAUACGUAGGGGGGCAGCGUUAUCCGGAUUUACUGGGUGUAAAGGGCGCGUAGACGGAGGAGCAAGUCUGAUGUGAAAAUCCGGGGCCCAACCCCGGAACUGCAUUGGAAACUGUUUAUCUAGAGUGUCG